RNAcentral lists this ribosomal RNA (583 nucleotides) under Neisseria zoodegmatis. RNAcentral describes it as "bacterial SSU rRNA". It matches the Rfam family "Bacterial small subunit ribosomal RNA", at positions 109 to 688 of the family's 1533-position model. The record is from RNAcentral. Lineage: Bacteria; Pseudomonadati; Pseudomonadota; Betaproteobacteria; Neisseriales; Neisseriaceae.
AGUAAUGCAUCGGAACGUACCGAGUAGUGGGGGAUAACUGUCCGAAAGGAUGGCUAAUACCGCAUACGCUUUGAGAAGGAAAGCAGGGGCUCUUCGGACCUUGCGCUAUUCGAGCGGCCGAUGUCUGAUUAGCUGGUUGGUGGGGUAAAGGCCUACCAAGGCGACGAUCAGUAGCGGGUCUGAGAGGAUGAUCCGCCACACUGGGACUGAGACACGGCCCAGACUCCUACGGGAGGCAGCAGUGGGGAAUUUUGGACAAUGGGCGCAAGCCUGAUCCAGCCAUGCCGCGUGUCUGAAGAAGGCCUUCGGGUUGUAAAGGACUUUUGUCAGGGAAGAAAAGGUUGUGGUUAAUACCCAUGACUGAUGACGGUACCUGAAGAAUAAGCACCGGCUAACUACGUGCCAGCAGCCGCGGUAAUACGUAGGGUGCGAGCGUUAAUCGGAAUUACUGGGCGUAAAGCGGGCGCAGACGGUUACUUAAGUCAGAUGUGAAAUCCCCGGGCUCAACCUGGGAACUGCGUUUGAAACUGGGUGACUAGAGUAUGUCAGAGGGGGGUAGAAUUCCACGUGUAGCAGUGAAAUG